GAUGAACGCUGGCGGCGUGCUUAACACAUGCAAGUCGAACGGAAAGGCUCCUGCUUGCAGGGGUACUCGAGUGGCGAACGGGUGAGUAACACGAGGGUGAUCUGCCCUGCGCUUCGGGAUAAGCCUGGGAAACUGGGUCUAAUACCGGAUAGGACGAUGGUUUGGAUGCCAUUGUGGAAAGUUUUUUCGGUGUGGGAUGAGCUCGCGGCCUAUCAGCUUGUUGGUGGGGUAAUGGCCUACCAAGGCGUCGACGGGUAGCCGGCCUGAGAGGGUGUACGGCCACAUUGGGACUGAGAUACGGCCCAGACUCCUACGGGAGGCAGCAGUGGGGAAUAUUGCACAAUGGGCGCAAGCCUGAUGCAGCGACGCCGCGUGGGGGAUGACGGCCUUCGGGUUGUAAACUCCUUUCGCUAGGGACGAAGCGCAAGUGACGGUACCUGGAGAAGAAGCACCGGCUAACUACGUG
This 466-nucleotide ribosomal RNA is filed under the name uncultured bacterium. Its description in RNAcentral is "partial 16S ribosomal RNA". It matches the Rfam family "Bacterial small subunit ribosomal RNA", at positions 28 to 507 of the family's 1533-position model. The record is from RNAcentral.